This 80-nucleotide transfer RNA is filed under the name Caudoviricetes sp. RNAcentral describes it as "tRNA-Leu". It matches the Rfam family "tRNA". From Rfam's summary of the family: Transfer RNA (tRNA) molecules are approximately 80 nucleotides in length. Their secondary structure includes four short double-helical elements and three loops (D, anti-codon, and T loops). Further hydrogen bonds mediate the characteristic L-shaped molecular structure. tRNAs have two regions of fundamental functional importance: the anti-codon, which is responsible for specific mRNA codon recognition, and the 3' end, to which the tRNAs corresponding amino acid is attached (by aminoacyl-tRNA synthetases). tRNAs cope with the degeneracy of the genetic code in two manners: having more than one tRNA (with a specific anti-codon) for a particular amino acid; and 'wobble' base-pairing, i.e. permitting non-standard base-pairing at the 3rd anti-codon position. The record is from RNAcentral. Lineage: Duplodnaviria; Heunggongvirae; Uroviricota; Caudoviricetes.
GCGAGGAUGGUGAAAUUGGUAGACACGUCAGCUUUAGAAGCUGAUGCUACUGCGUGAGGGUUCAAAUCCCUCUCCUCGCA